RNAcentral lists this ribosomal RNA (468 nucleotides) under uncultured bacterium. RNAcentral describes it as "bacterial SSU rRNA". It matches the Rfam family "Bacterial small subunit ribosomal RNA", at positions 329 to 793 of the family's 1533-position model. The record is from RNAcentral.
UGCCAGACUCCUACGGGAGGCAGCAGUGAGGAAUAUUGGUCAAUGGGCGCGAGCCUGAACCAGCCAAGUCGCGUGAGGGAAGACGGUCCUAUGGAUUGUAAACCUCUUUUGUCGGGGAGCAAAAGACGCCACGUGUGGCGUUCCGAGAGUACCCGAAGAAAAAGCAUCGGCUAACUCCGUGCCAGCAGCCGCGGUGAUACGGAGGAUGCGAGCGUUAUCCGGAUUUAUUGGGUUUAAAGGGUGCGUAGGCGGGCUGUUAAGUCAGCGGUCAAAUGUCGGGGCUCAACCCCGGCCUGCCGUUGAAACUGGCGGCCUCGAGUGGGCGAGAAGUAUGCGGAAUGCGUGGUGUAGCGGUGAAAUGCUUAGAUAUCACGAAGAACUCCGAUUGCGAAGGCAGUUCACUGGACUGCAACUGACACUGAGGCUCGAAAGUGUGGGUAUCAAACAGGAUUAGAUACCCCAGUAAAG